GGAGCUGAGCGGUUGGCGCCACUUUCAAAUCCUCCACUGACACAGAAUGAGAGUCCGGCUUCAAAUACAUUUUCACACCAGCUUACUUCUCCUUUUAAUCAUUAAUAUAGGGUGAGGAAUAUCUUAACAUAAUUUUACUUUGGGACCGUUUUUUCCUUGGAAGAAUCCAAAGUGAGGGGAGAAAGAUGGGCCUUGAGGUGACUCGUGUCCCUGGUCUGGGCCGGCAGAGCCCCUCCAUCAGUCGGUAAUGAUCUCAGCAGCAGACGUAACCGAGAAGAUAAGCAGUGUUUCAUCUACUCUUCACUUCCACCUCUCCUCCAUUUUGU
Molecule: long non-coding RNA, 326 nt
Organism: Pungitius pungitius (ninespine stickleback)
Lineage: Eukaryota; Metazoa; Chordata; Actinopteri; Perciformes; Gasterosteidae
Exons: 3
Source: RefSeq, a predicted model, not a curated record